This is a non-coding RNA of Caenorhabditis elegans, 186 nucleotides long. NCBI's taxonomy places the organism in Eukaryota, Metazoa, Nematoda, Chromadorea, Rhabditida, Rhabditidae. The record is from Ensembl.
UCGGUGGCGGCGGCGGCAGCUCCCCGAGCUCUCAAGUACCUCCUCCUCUUCUGUUUUGUGAGAGUGUGAGCUAGCGACGGAUUCCUCUGUGAGAGUGUGCUGUGCAACUGACUUUAAACAAAAUCGGGUGCCCCUCUCUCUCCCCCAUCUCUUUCUCUCUCCGCCAGGUUCGCAUUGCCGCGAAAG